UGCAAGUCGAACGUGAGCCAUCCUUCGGGGUGGUGGAAAGUGGCGCACGGGUGAGUAACGCGUGGGAACAUACCCAGCUGUACGGAAUAACCAUGGGAAACUAUGGCUAAUACCGUAUACACCCCUCCGGGGGGAAAGAUUUAUCGCAGUUGGAGUGGCCCGCGUAGGAUUAGGUAGUUGGUGGGGUAAAGGCCUACCAAGCCGACGAUCCUUAGCUGGUUUGAGAGGAUGAUCAGCCACACUGGGACUGAGACACGGCCCAGACUCCUACGGGAGGCAGCAGUGGGGAAUAUUGGACAAUGGGCGAAAGCCUGAUCCAGCAAUGCCGCGUGAGUGAAGAAGGCCUUAGGGUUGUAAAGCUCUUUCACCGGGGAAGAUUAUGACGGUACCCGGAGAAGAAGCCCCGGCUAACUCCGUGCCAGCAGCCGCGGUAAUACGGAGGGGGCUAGCGUUGUUCGGAAUUACUGGGCGUAAAGCGCGCGUAGGCGGCCUGUCAAGUUGGGUGUGAAAGCCCGGGGCUCAACCCCGGAAUUGCAUUCAAAACUGACAAGCUAGAGACCGAGAGAGGUGAGUGGAAUUUCCAGUGUAGAGGUGAAAUUCGUAGAUAUUGGAAAGAACACCAGUGGCGAAGGCAGCUCACUGGCUCGGUACUGACGCUGAGGUGCGAAAGCGUGGGUAGCAAACAGGAUUAGAUACCCUGGUAGUCCACGCCGUAAACGAUGAGUGCUAGACGUCGGGAGGCAUGCCUUUCGGUGUCGCAGCUAACGCAUUAAGCACU
This 778-nucleotide ribosomal RNA is filed under the name uncultured bacterium. Its description in RNAcentral is "bacterial SSU rRNA". It matches the Rfam family "Bacterial small subunit ribosomal RNA", at positions 56 to 868 of the family's 1533-position model. The record is from RNAcentral.